UGAGGAACAUGACUUUCGGCGGGGGAUAGCCGGCCCAACGGCCGGGUAAUACCGCGUACGACCUUUUGGGGACAUCCCCGAUUGGUGAAAGCAGCAAUGCGCCGAAAGAGUGCCUCGCGGCCUAUCAGCUAGUUGGUGGGGUGAUGGCCUACCAAGGCGACGACGGGUAGCCGGCCUGAGAGGGUGACCGGCCACACUGGGACUGAGAUACGGCCCAGACUCCUACGGGAGGCAG
RNAcentral lists this ribosomal RNA (235 nucleotides) under uncultured bacterium. RNAcentral describes it as "partial 16S ribosomal RNA". It matches the Rfam family "Bacterial small subunit ribosomal RNA", at positions 118 to 351 of the family's 1533-position model. The record is from RNAcentral.